GACGAACGCUGGCGGCGUGCUUAACACAUGCAAGUCGAACGGAGUGGCGAACGGGUGAGUAACACGUGGGUGACCUGCCCUGCACUUCGGGAUAAGCCUGGGAAACUGGGUCUAAUACCGGAUAGUGUGGGAUGGGCCCGGGGCCUCUCAGCUUGUUGGUGGGGUAAUGGCCUACUAAGGCGGCGACGGGUAGCCGGCCUGAGAGGGUGGGCGGCCAAAUUGGGACUGAGACACUGCCCAGAGUCCUACGGGAGGCAGCAGUGGGAAAUAUUGCACAAUUGGCGGAAGCCUGAUGCGGCGACGCCGCGUGGGGGAUGACGUCCUUCGGGUUGUGAACUCCUUUCACCAUCGACGCGGUAGUGGCAGAAGAAGCACCGGCUAACUACGUGCCAGCAGCCGCGGUAAUUC
RNAcentral lists this ribosomal RNA (408 nucleotides) under uncultured bacterium. RNAcentral's name for it is "partial 16S ribosomal RNA". It matches the Rfam family "Bacterial small subunit ribosomal RNA", at positions 28 to 526 of the family's 1533-position model. The record is from RNAcentral.